Stegostoma tigrinum is the source of this 1099-nucleotide long non-coding RNA. RefSeq lists it as uncharacterized. Lineage: Eukaryota; Metazoa; Chordata; Chondrichthyes; Orectolobiformes; Stegostomatidae. The record is from RefSeq and is a predicted model, not a curated record. The transcript is spliced from 3 exons.
CUUCUCCACUAACAAAGUAGAGUUAGCUAAUAUGUUGUGGGCUAUCUGCGAAACGAUUGGUUAAAGUUUUCAUGAGGCCGACAAAGCGACAAUAAAACGUAAAUCAAUCCGCAAUGGGGGUUAAACAAUUAGCAUCCCCCUCCUCCCCCCGUAUUAAAUACAUUUAGAAGUAAAAGGGGGAUUGAACAAUAAACAGUACCACGGAUAAAUACAUACUGAGCAACUAUUCCUCAGAAUGCAAAACCUGGUUAACUUUAACGGACAUUUUUUAAAGGAACUAUUUUGUUUCCUAAUCAAUCUUACGUCGUGCGAUAAAUUCCCACACCAGGUCUCAUCAUCGCCAGUUUUUGUAUUACUGUUAUUAUUUUAAAUCCGUAACAUAAGAAGUGUUAAAUGCAAUCAACGCAGCAGAUUAUUCUUGCGAUAUUUGUACUUGAUGGGUACGAGAAGCUGGUGAGUUCCAGGAAGAAAAGAGCCAAGAAAGAUUUUGUAUCAUCAGCUAAGGACAAAGCGUGAAUUAAUGUUCGAAAACUAAGUACAAUUAGUGAAAUGCGAAUACUCAGACAAAAUUCGGUUCCAAACUGACAGCAAAGGCGAACGAAUUGAAGAUUAUCAGCGGAAACUCGCUCAACUUAUACUUUGAUAUGUAAACGAACAAAAUAACAAAUCGAUUAGGGCAAGACUGAAGCUUCUUCGUCCACAGGCAAUAAUCUCACUGGAAGCUUGCCUAAUGUCUUUCUGCAACUGGAUACCUCCAGUUUAAAAGCCUAUGAGUUAUAUUCAGAUGUAUCUUACCGGAGUAUUAUUGACCCAGACUAUAUUUUUGAUAUACAGCAAUAUUGUGAUAGACUGAACAAUCGUCGUUAAUGAUAAAGUGGUAACAACAUUAUCUUUUAUGACUAGACAUAUUAUGCUAAAUUUAAAAAAACAACACAACUACUUCACACUACAAGACUUGAUAACAUAACAUUGGAGGACUGAAGAGCGCUCUCAACUGGGAAUGGAAGAGAGUUAUCGUCCCUCGAUCAUAACACAAAUGUAUAAAAGCUGUUACACUGAAUUAAUAUGAUACAGAAAUAAAUCGUCUUGUAUAUCGACA